RNAcentral lists this long non-coding RNA (814 nucleotides) under Olea europaea subsp. europaea. The record is from RNAcentral. Lineage: Eukaryota; Viridiplantae; Streptophyta; Magnoliopsida; Lamiales; Oleaceae.
CAAAAUACGUGCUUCUGGUGGGUGUGCUCUCUGUAAGAAAAUGUGGUAUCUUCUUCAGCUUCAUUCUCGAGCCUGCAAAGAAUCCCAAUGCACUGUACCGCGCUGCAGGUUUGUUCACCUAUCUCAUUUUUAUCCUUGGGACUUUGAAAUUUCCCCCAUACCUCUGUGUCAUCACUAUGAACCUAGUUUUGUGCUAGAAACCAUAUGAAUUUAUUUACAAUGUUUUGAUGCAGAGAUUUGACUGAGCACAUUAGAAGGCUGCAACAGCAGUCUGAUUCCCGAAGAAGGGCAGCUGUGAUGGAAAUGAUGAGGCAGCGUGCCGCAGAGGUUGCUGGGAAUUCUGGAUGAGCCAGUUGUACAUUAAUAGUGACAUUUUGACGUACUCUUUUCACAAGAAGAUAGUUUAUAGUCAUAAACUGCUUUGUUUAUAGGCCGAACUCUGGUGGUGAAAGAGGCACCGUUUCCUCAAAAUUUUCUGUUCAUAUUUUUCCGGAUAAGCUCCAUACUGAAGUUUACAAAGAUCAGAUACUGCUACAGUCUGCAACACCACAUGCAUACUGAAGUUAUAAAUCGGAGACUGCUCGUCUGGAACGACUAACUAUAUUGUUCGGAUGCUGUAAGGGUGUAGAAGUGUGUAGCACUUUAAUUUCAUUUUCCUGUUUUUCAUUAAUUAAUGCCCCAUUAUUUGAUGGCACGUGUACCAUAUCUUUCUGAUGCGUCCAUAGAUUAUUCACUUUCCAGAGAAAUCGCACGGGGGAUUGCAGUUUUUCUUUUUGUAUGCUGGUUUCCUCCAAACUUUGUAGUUGAAGUAAUA